This 678-nucleotide ribosomal RNA is filed under the name uncultured bacterium. RNAcentral describes it as "bacterial SSU rRNA". It matches the Rfam family "Bacterial small subunit ribosomal RNA", at positions 28 to 697 of the family's 1533-position model. The record is from RNAcentral.
AUUGAACGCUGGCGGCAGGCUUAACACAUGCAAGUCGAGCGGUAACAGGGGGAGCUUGCUCCCUGCUGACGAGCGGCGGACGGGUGAGUAAUGCAUAGGAAUCUGCCCGGUAGUUGGGGAUAGCCCGGGGAAACCCGGAUUAAUACCGAAUACGCCCUACGGGGGAAAGCAGGGGAUCUUCGGACCUUGCGCUAUCGGAUGAGCCUAUGUCGGAUUAGCUGGUUGGUGGGGUAACGGCCUACCAAGGCGACGAUCCGUAGCUGGUCUGAGAGGAUGAUCAGCCACAUCGGGACUGAGACACGGCCCGAACUCCUACGGGAGGCAGCAGUGGGGAAUAUUGGACAAUGGGGGCAACCCUGAUCCAGCCAUGCCGCGUGUGUGAAGAAGGCUUUCGGGUUGUAAAGCACUUUCAGUGAGGAGGAAAACCUGAUGGCUAAUACCCAUGAGGCUUGACGUUACUCACAGAAGAAGCACCGGCUAACUCCGUGCCAGCAGCCGCGGUAAUACGGAGGGUGCGAGCGUUAAUCGGAAUUACUGGGCGUAAAGCGCGCGUAGGUGGUUUGAUAAGCGAGAUGUGAAAGCCCCGGGCUUAACCUGGGAACGGCAUUUCGAACUGUCAGGCUAGAGUGUGGUAGAGGGUAGUGGAAUUUCCUGUGUAGCGGUGAAAUGCGUAGAUAU